CGCCUCCUGCAAUGUAAAUAAGUAUAGGAGGUCCAGCCUGCCCAGUGACCACAAGUUUAACGGCCGCGGUACUUUGACCGUGCAAAGGUAGCGCAAUCACUUGUCUUUUAAAUAAAGACCCGUAUGAAUGGUUAAACGAGGGCUUAACUGUCUCCCAUUUCCAGUCAGUGAAAUUGAUCUACCCGUGCAGAAGCGGGUAUAAAUAUACAAGACGAGAAGACCCUUUGGAGCUUAAGGUACAAAACUCAACCACGUCAAUCAACUCAAUAAAAAGCAACUUUUUACUAAACCCUGUGACAAAUGAGACCAUACCUUCGGUUGGGGCGACCAAGGAGGAAAAGAAAGCCUCCAAGUGGAUUGGGUCAACACCCUAAAACUAAGAGAGACAUCUCUAAGCCACAGAACAUCUGACCAUAAAUGAUCCGGUCAAUUAAGACCGAUCAACGAACCAAGUUACCCUAGGGAUAACAGCGCAAUCCUCUCCCAGAGUCCAUAUCGACGAGGGGGUUUACGACCUCGAUGUUGGAUCAGGACAUCCUAAUGGUGCAGCCGCUAUUAAGGGUUCGUUUGUUCAACGAUUAAAGUCCUACGUGAUCUGAGUU
This 602-nucleotide ribosomal RNA is filed under the name Dawkinsia crassa. RNAcentral's name for it is "partial large subunit ribosomal RNA". It matches the Rfam family "Bacterial large subunit ribosomal RNA", at positions 1816 to 2611 of the family's 2925-position model. Lineage: Eukaryota; Metazoa; Chordata; Actinopteri; Cypriniformes; Cyprinidae. The record is from RNAcentral.